This 468-nucleotide ribosomal RNA is filed under the name uncultured bacterium. Its description in RNAcentral is "partial 16S ribosomal RNA". It matches the Rfam family "Bacterial small subunit ribosomal RNA", at positions 28 to 507 of the family's 1533-position model. The record is from RNAcentral.
GACGAACGCUGGCGGCGUGCUUAACACAUGCAAGUCGAACGGAAAGGCCCUGCUUUUGUGGGGUGCUCGAGUGGCGAACGGGUGAGUAACACGUGAGUAACCUGCCCUUGACUUUGGGAUAACUUCAGGAAACUGGGGCUAAUACCGGAUAGGAGCUCCUGCUGCAUGGUGGGGGUUGGAAAGUUUCGGCGGUUGGGGAUGGACUCGCGGCUUAUCAGCUUGUUGGUGGGGUAGUGGCUUACCAAGGCUUUGACGGGUAGCCGGCCUGAGAGGGUGACCGGCGACAUGGGGACUGCGAGAGGGCCCAGACUGCUACGGGGGGCAGCGGGGGGGAAUAUUGCACAAUGGGCGGAAGCCUGAUGCAGCAACGCCGCGUGCGGGAUGACGGCCUUCGGGUUGUAAACCGCUUUCGCCUGUGACGAAGCGUGAGUGACGGUAAUGGGUAAAGAAGCACCGGCUAACUACGUG